CUCAACUCUAUAGCAGUUUAACGGACAUUGUUAUGUUGACAUGCAUCUUUCUACUUAUGUUGACAUGCAUCUUUCUACUCCUCAAAUACCCUUGUUGUAUCAUCUGUAGUAGAUGCUUCAUCACAGAACUAGAAGUGAGGAGGAGAGCACGGACACCCCUGUCAUAAAGUGAGUACACAUCAUAACAAGACAAAGCUCCACUCCUUGUAUGGACCGCAACAUUUGCAAAG
Molecule: long non-coding RNA, 230 nt
Filed under: Sander lucioperca (pikeperch)
Lineage: Eukaryota; Metazoa; Chordata; Actinopteri; Perciformes; Percidae
Description: lncRNA (ENSSLUG00000010641.1)
Source: RNAcentral